Molecule: ribosomal RNA, 250 nt
Filed under: uncultured bacterium
Lineage: Bacteria
Description: partial 16S ribosomal RNA
Rfam family: Bacterial small subunit ribosomal RNA
Source: RNAcentral
UACGUAGAGUGCGAGCGUUAAUCGGAAUUACUGGGCGUAAAGCGUGCGCAGGCGGUUCGUUGUGUCUGAUGUGAAAGCCCCGGGCUCAACCUGGGAACGGCAUUGGAAACUGGCGGACUGGAGUGCGGCAGAGGGGGGUGGAAUUCCGCGUGUAGCAGUGAAAUGCGUAGAGAUGCGGAGGAACACCGAUGGCGAAGGCAGCCCCCUGGGCCGACACUGACGCUCAGGCACGAAAGCGUGGGGAGCAAAC